UUUUUUUUUUUUUUUGUCAUCUCAUAAAAUGACUCUGAUUAGGAAGGGAUUGAUCAUUUCCUAAGACUGUUUUGUACGGAAUGCCCAAAGCCACUCGGUGUCCCUUGUUGGUGCUUAUUUCUCUGCGUUUCUGAUAAAAUAUAAUUGUCUUAAGUCUCUCAGGAUUGAUUAGAUGGAAUGUUCAAAAGGAAAGCUGUCUUAUUAUUGACCCUGCAUCCUUUAGUUAAUAAGUUUUUUUCUAAUUUUACUUCAAAGAUGAAAGUUUCUUAAUUAACCAUCAGAGGUUCUCUGAAGCUAAGUAUAUUAAAAUCAUAUUAUGCCUUCCUGAGGCUCUCCUUAGAUUUUUUAUUAAGCAAAGCUAUUGGAAGUAAAGAUAUGAGGGUAAUCGUAUCUAUAUAUAAUAAAGAAAGAUAUACUUAUGAGUUUUCUAUUCUAAUCACCAUCACUGCCACACUGAAAAAGUCAAUUAUUUUGUAAUAUUUAAGAAUGUUAAUAAAAAUGAAUGUUAUUUAGCUAAAUCUUGUUAGCUUUGGAAAUGAGAAACAAGAAUAUCAAAGAUAGAAAAAAAAGAUUAUAGCCUAAUUCCAAAUGUAAUUUAGUGAAUGUGUGUCAAAGCAACUCUAUCUGUUCCAAUAGGUAUUUAUUGAUCACCUGCCAUAUGCCAGUCCUCCUAGGUUCUAAGACGUAGAAAGAUUAAGACAUUGACCCUGUCCUCAGUGAGUUCACAACUUCAUAGGAGAGAAUGAUUCUUUAAUUAUAACAGGUGAGAAUGGACAUGUACUGUAAUGAAGGCAUGUGCAGAGCAAGGAUGUGCUGGGAAACUGACUGUCUAGGGGAAAUUAAGCCCUCAUUUGCCAAUGUCCCUGGUGCAAAUAUUUCACCCCAGCCAAUUUUCAAGUUCCCAAUUAAAAAGCUUCAACAGGGAACGUCUGCGCUGCUCAGUUGGUUAACCAUCUGACUUCAGCUCAGGUCAUGAUCUCAGGGUCCUGGGAUCAAGCACAGAGUCACACUCCCUGCUCAGUGGGCAGUUUGCUUGAGGAUUCUCGUUCUCUCCCUCUGCCUCUGCAUCUCCUCCACCCCAACUCUCUAUCUCUCAAAUAAAUAAAUAAAAUCUGAAAAAUAAAUAAAUAAAAAAUUAAAAGCUUCCAACAACUUAAAAAUAGGCUUAAAAAUUAUUGAAUAUUUAACAACUGGCCCUCAUAAGCUUUACAGACUGGCUUCAUCACACCAUUGGAAGUGUGGAGGAAUCAUAGAGGAAAAUAGCCAUGAAUUCUGCUUGAAGUGGGGCUGGAACAGAACACAGAGCAGAGGGAAUUUGAGCUCUGCCUUGAAGAUGAACAAGAUAGAAGGACAAAGAGGGAGGAAGAAUGUUCCAUGCCGAGGGAAUGUCCUAUGUAAAUCUAAGAUGGCUGAGAAUCCAGGCCAUGCUGGGACAGGAGUGACCUGGAAAGCUUGGGCCAGAUUAUGAAGAACUAUGAAUGCCACACUAGGCGUCCUAUUUCCUUUCAAUAGAAAAUGGGAGUCUCUGGAGGGGCUCACAAAGCCUAUAUGAAGAAAAACUACUGAAAUAGCCCAAGCACAGAUGUACUCUGCCAAAUGGUCAGGCAUUCUGCAAACACGGUUAUUUUCAAAAUGAUGGAUUUCUUGGCUAAAUCUUAUUGUUUUUCAAAGAAUUCGGCUUAUUUUGAAGUAUGGCCACAAGAGGGAGGAGAAAGUGAAGGAAGAGAAAUGGAGUAAGAAAUUGAAAUGCAGCUGCUACAGAAAUCUAGGAGUACUAACAAAGUAAUAGGUGCUGUUACAGAAAACAGAAGAUAUAGGAAUGAAAAAGAGGAAAAUGAGAAUUAUCUGUCAUCCUAUCACCCAUGUGUAGUGGCUUUUAUCAUUUUUAUAUUCAUCGUUCUAGUAUUUUUAUGUAUGCAUUUAUUAUGCACAUAUUUCUAAAGCUGGAAAUCAGUUUAUAUUGUGUAUGUUUUAUUAAAAUUCCUCAUAAACAAUGUCACAGGUUAGCACAUGUUAUUUCACACCUUCAGUCCUAUCGAUUGCAUAGUGUUCCUGUUGCACAGAGAUUACUUAAUUUGUUUAUGAAAUCUACCAUAUAUGGACAUUAAAGUUGUUUGCCAUUUUAUACUAUCCCAAAGGGUGCUUUAAUAAAAACUCCUUUUUAUCUUGGGCACAUGUUUUGACAAAACACUUAAAUGACUUAAAUGCAUAUAAAUAUAAAAUCUAUUUUUCUUUUACAUUUUGUUUUUGAAAAGUAAAUUUUAGGGAAAUAAGAAAAUAAAAAACAUUGCUUUACAGUCAUUCCACUAAGGACUUUCUUGUCCUUAGCACUUUCCCACCCUUUAAGAGAAUAUAAUGCUGAGAAGUCAUCUAUAUUUCACAUACAAAGCCAAGUUCUCACACGUUUCAGGACAUGCAUAAUCUUUCCGUGAUGCCAGAUAAACACUGUGUUCUGGUGCUUACCUCUUGCUCUAGGCCAUAACUGUAGCGCAAGGUUUUAUGUGACAAAUGUCUAGAUAGCCAAAUACCCUCCACUGAAAAUUAAAUCUCACACUUGGAUGAGUCAUGGGCCUCAGGUGUGUGUGGGGUUUGUCUUACAGCUGUAUCUGUUUGAGGCACUCGUUAGAGGUGACACAGGGAUGUGGCUGUUUACUUCAGCUAAUAGCCAGUAGUUCCUUUAGGGGCAUCUUGGGAAACUGCUCACACAACACACUGUUAUAGGGGGUAUAGUAUGUGCUGAGUUUGGGUGCUGGGACGCUGAAUAUUCAACCUGGGACCAAGCUGUGGAAAGCAUCGAACUUCAGGCUUAGGUAUAAGGACUUUAUCCUAUACAGCUUACAUUAGUUAUCAAAUGGUCUUCAAUAGGAGAAAUGGUAUGGGAAUCUGAGCAAAACAGGGGAAAAAAUCAUCUGUUAAGAAUGACCACUGCUUAAGUAUUUUGGAUAAAUGUUUUUCUUUCCUCUAACUAAUAUACUGCGUUGCUCAAGUAAUGCAACAGAUUUGGGAA
This 3007-nucleotide long non-coding RNA is filed under the name Canis lupus familiaris (dog). RNAcentral describes it as "lncRNA (ENSCAFG00845006298.1)". The record is from RNAcentral. Lineage: Eukaryota; Metazoa; Chordata; Mammalia; Carnivora; Canidae.